Molecule: small RNA, 83 nt
Filed under: Flavobacterium frigoris
Lineage: Bacteria; Pseudomonadati; Bacteroidota; Flavobacteriia; Flavobacteriales; Flavobacteriaceae
Description: Flavo-1 RNA
Rfam family: Flavo-1 RNA
Source: RNAcentral
GCUUAGCCCAGAUAGAAGCGGCAUCCUCUUGUGGUCUCAUUUUUUUGAGACCACAAGAGAUAUAGCGAAUAGCUGGAAAUUGC